This 401-nucleotide long non-coding RNA is filed under the name Triticum aestivum (bread wheat). RNAcentral's name for it is "long non-coding RNA (TAES_LNC013718)". Lineage: Eukaryota; Viridiplantae; Streptophyta; Magnoliopsida; Poales; Poaceae. The record is from RNAcentral.
GGGCUUCUUAUCUGGGCCGUCACCCUCGCCGGCCUCCUCGGCGGCGGCGUCCUCCUCGUCUACAACACCAGCGCUCUCGCCGGCUAAGAGAGCAUCUACGUGUAACACAGGGCCGGGUCUCUGCUUGCAUGCACGUCUCUGUAAUCUACAUAGCUACCUCCUGUGAAUGUAUGCAAUCAACGAUGCAAAGUAAUUGAUCCGAACAGAUGGUUUAUGUGUAUGUACGUAACGCUGUAACGAUAUACUUCCUACUUUGGAAACUGUAAAAGGGUGGAUUCUUGGAGCCCGUAUGCACGCACCCUCUACCAUGCAUAGGCGCAUCUGUUCCUAGGUAUUUGGGACGCGCCUGACUCGUGUCACAGAGUGCCCAGAAGAUUAAUAUAGUGGCCGCCGGCGGUCGC